RNAcentral lists this ribosomal RNA (462 nucleotides) under uncultured bacterium. RNAcentral describes it as "partial 16S ribosomal RNA". It matches the Rfam family "Bacterial small subunit ribosomal RNA", at positions 28 to 507 of the family's 1533-position model. The record is from RNAcentral.
GACGAACGCUGGCGGCGUGCUUAACACAUGCAAGUCGAACGGAAAGGCCCUUCGGGGUACUCGAGUGGCGAACGGGUGAGUAACACGUGGGUGAUCUGCCCUGAACUUUGGGAUAAGCCUGGGAAACUGGGUCUAAUACCGAAUAGGACCACGCGCUUCAUGGUGUGUGGUGGAAAGCUUUUGCGGUGUGGGAUGGGCCCGCGGCCUAUCAGCUUGUUGGUGGGGUAAUGGCCUACCAAGGCGACGACGGGUAGCCGGCCUGAGAGGGUGACCGGCCACACUGGGACUGAGAUACGGCCCAGACUCCUACGGGAGGCAGCAGUGGGGAAUAUUGCACAAUAGGCGCAAGCCUGAUGCAGCGACGCCGCGUGAGGGAUGACGGCCUUCGGGUUGUAAACCUCUUUCAAUAGGGACGAAGCGCAAGUGACGGUACCUAUAGAAGAAGCACCGGCCAACUACGUG